UCCGGUGAUGGAGGUUUUGCAUUGUGAUUGACUUGUUUAUAUCCAUUAUGUGACAUUUUGUUUCUUAUUUGAAUGUCUGAAAACGAKUUUUUCGAUUCAUUAGAUUAAUUAUUCUCUAUUUUGUUUAUUUWACCAAUUUUCUUCGAGAUCUGUGACCUCGAUUUUUGCCUAUUAUACAAUAUUAAGAACAGUGAAUGCAUUGCAGAACGGAAUAGCGGUCUUCAACAUGGACUUUCGUAAGCGGGAGAGACAACAGCCUCUUCAAGAUGAUGACAGCGAUGUUGAGAUGGSUGAAAUCGGCAGCAAUGCUGAUUCCAAAGAAUUUGGGGGAAAGCGAAUCAUCAUGAAAGGUCAAGUAAAACAAAAUCACAGCGAGAUUGAAAAGAGACGGCGUGACAAGAUGAAUACUUACAUC
Exaiptasia diaphana is the source of this 415-nucleotide long non-coding RNA. RefSeq lists it as uncharacterized. The record is from RefSeq and is a predicted model, not a curated record. Lineage: Eukaryota; Metazoa; Cnidaria; Anthozoa; Actiniaria; Aiptasiidae. The transcript is spliced from 4 exons.